CAAGUCUUUUUAUAGCCUUUGUCUUGCGCACUUCUAUGCCUCUCCUAUCUGAUCUUGAUUGAUAUCAGAGUUGCACCACUUAUAGGAUCUCAACUCACUCUGCUCUGAACAUUGUUUUUUACUGGAGAGAGGAGAGCAGAUUUGGACCGGAAGGGUUGGGGACAGAAUGUUUGCCAUAGACAUUUUGGUGUGUGCGGAGAACAAACAACUAGACACGCAUUAAGUCCUUUAGUGUGUGAUCUCUUGACCUGCAAUUCAUGCAGAACAUCUGCAGAUUUGAUUUUGACAUUUAAGGAACAUGCAGAUUUUGUGCACUCUGAAC
This 322-nucleotide long non-coding RNA is filed under the name Salvator merianae (Argentine black and white tegu). RNAcentral describes it as "lncRNA (ENSSMRG00000023412.1)". Lineage: Eukaryota; Metazoa; Chordata; Lepidosauria; Squamata; Teiidae. The record is from RNAcentral.